Molecule: long non-coding RNA, 4066 nt
Filed under: Homo sapiens (human)
Lineage: Eukaryota; Metazoa; Chordata; Mammalia; Primates; Hominidae
Description: HSALNT0310016
Source: RNAcentral
CAGUGUAAAAGUGUUCCUAUUUCUCCACAUCCUCUCCAGCACCUGUUGUUUCCUGACUUUUUAAUGAUUGCCAUUCUAACUGGUGUGAGAUGAUAUCUCAUAGUGGUUUUGAUUUGCAUUUCUCUGAUGGCCAGUGAUGAUGAGCAUUUUUUCAUGUGUUUUUUGGCUGCAUAAAUGUCUUCUUUUGAGAAGUGUCUGUUCAUGUCCUUCGCCCACUUUUUGAUGGGGUUGUUUGUUUUUUUCUUGUAAAUUUGUUUGAGUUCAUUGUAGAUUCUGGAUAUUAGCCCUUUGUCAGAUGAGUAGGUUGCGAAAAUUUUCUCCCAUGUUGUGGGUUGCCUGUUCACUCUGAUGGUAGUUUCUUUUGCUGUGCAGAAGCUCUUUAGUUUAAUUAGAUCCCAUUUGUCAAUUCUGGCUUUUGUUGCCAUUGCUUUUGGUGUUUUGGACAUGAAGUCCUCGCCCACGCCUAUGUCCUGAAUGGUAAUGCCUAGGUUUUCUUCUAGGGUUUUUAUGGUUUUAGGUCUAACGUUUAAAUCUUUAAUCCAUCUUGAAUUGAUUUUUGUAUAAGGUGUAAGGAAGGGAUCCAGUUUCAGCUUUCUACAUAUGGCUAGCCAGUUUCAGGUUUAGAACGUUAAACACAAUUGUUAAAAUGAUGUUCAAGAAACUAUAGUAAUCAAUAUUUAGAACCUUAUUUCCAAAAAAUGCAGAAUGACCUGAGUUAGGCCAUCAAGAGUUAAUUACUACUCCUUCUUCCAAGAGGCCUCUUGCAAUUGAAGUUGAAAAAUUGGGGGCUGUGAAGGGCAUACACAGAAAGAAAAAAGCUUCAACUCAACCCAAAAUCACAGCUUCAAAAUCUGCACUAUUCAAACAGCAGCCACUUGUACUUACUGAGCACUUAAAAUGUGGUAAGUCUGAAUUCAGAUGUGCUGUAUUAAAUGCAUGCCAGACUUCAAAGACUUCCAAGUAAGAAUAUAAAAUAUCUCAUUAAUUUUUUUUUUUUUUUAAAGACACGGUCUGUGUCGCCCAGGCUGGAGUGUAGUGGCACAAUCUCGGCUUACCGCAAGCCCCCCUCCCAGGCUUCAGUGAUCCUCCCACCUCAGCCUCCCAAGUAGCAGGGACUACAGACACAUAUCAGUAUGCUUGCCUAUUUUUCAUAUUUUUAGUAGAGAUGGGGUUUCACCGUGUUGCCCAGGCUGGUCUCAAACUCCUGGGCUCAAGUGAUCCACCCACCUCAGCCACUCAAAAGUGCUGGGAUUACAGGUAUGAGCCACCAUGUCCAGCCUCCCAAAGUGCUAGGAUUACAGGUGGGAGACACUGUGCCCGGCCUCAUUAACAAUUUUUAUACAAAAUUCAUACUGAUAGUAUCUUAGAUAUAUUGGAUUAAAUUAGAUGAACCAAAAAUAAUUAUUAAAAUUUAUUUCACCAUUUCUAUCUUUUUAAUGUGGUUAGUAAAAAAGUUUAUAUUACAUAUGGGCUCAUAAAUUUCUAUUGGACAGCAAUUUUUAGCAAUUUUCACUCUCUCCAAUUAAAAAAGAUAGUGAAGCAUCGGCAAAACCAAACAUGCAUUUAAGCCCUCUACUUAAAGUCUGCCUAAAACAAUCUAAAAGAAUCAACAUAUUCUGGGCCAUUUAUCUCUGGCACGUACCUAAAAAGCCAUCAUCCAAUUUCAAGAAUGGGAAAGUAGCUUUGAGAAUAAGCUAAUACAAGGUGAGUCAUGUUAAAGUAAUGGUUCGUCUAUCUUCUGUGCAUCAGAAUUAACUUGUGGAGCUUUUAUUAAAAAUAUAGAUGGUCAUCCCACCCAGAGAUUCUAAUUCAGUAGGCUGCAGGUAGAACCCGAGCAUGUGUGCUUUAAAAGCUCCCCAGGUGAAUCUAAUAGAUAGCCAGUGCUGUAUAGGUCAUAUUUCUACAUAUACUACUAAAUAUAUUUAUGAAGGUGCUAUUAAAAUUCCCACAGGCUUUGUAAUGCUACUGUGUGGCUGCUUUAGCAACAUCAGCAGACAACAUUGAGAAUCAACACUAAUGAAACUGUGGCAACAGCAAGAAGCUACUGGCACUUAGCUAAAGCCAUUUCCUAUGCUCCUUCCAGACAGGUUUUGCAACGUGCACAAUGGAGGCAACUCCUAUUUCCUUCUUCCUUCAGUUCUCAUGGAAAGCAUUUAUACCUAGGAAGGAAACAGAGCUUAGCGGUUGCAAGCUGGGCUCUGAAAUCAAUCUGCGUCAAAAUGUGCGUACUCAUUAAGUUAGUAGCACCAGUCCUGUAAUGAAUGGCAAGUACUUAGCACAGCAUACAGAAAAGCCAUGCUUUUUACUGCAGUCAACUUCUUGCCUUUUCCAGUGAUUUAGCUAUAUUUUUGGAUCAGCCAUAUGUAAGCCUUUCUCUUUUAAUAUUCCUUUCUCUUUUUUUGAGACAGGGUCUCACUCUGUUGCCCAGGCUAGAGUGGCAUGAUCAUAGCUCACUGCAGCCUCAAACUCCUGGGCUCAAACAAUCCUCCUACCUUGGCCUCCCCAAGAGAUUACAGGCUGGGUACACCCAGCCAAGCCUUUCUUCCAACAAUGAAAACGUGCACAUUGGGCACCGUGGCUCACACCUGUAAUCCCAGCAUUUUGGGAGGCCAAGGAGUGAGCCCAGGAGUUUUGAGACCAGCCUGGGCAACACAAAGAGACCCUCUACUUACGUUUUUUAAUAAAAAUAAUUAAAACAACAAUGAAAAUAUCCGAAUGCUGGCUUAAAAAGUUAACCCUCUACUUCUCCAUUUAUAUAGGUUUCCAAUCAAGAAAAGGUAUCCUAAUCUCUCACCUGUCAGACUCUUCAGUCCUUCUGUGAAAAGUGACUGGAAUUCGGGAGACUGCAACUUCAUUGUGAAUAGAUACUGCUUCGGAAGGCACAGCCUACUCCACCUACGGUUCAGCACUGGCCUGUGCCAAUGAUACAGGCACCUCAGCAUCUGGAGAGGCAGUCACCAACUACACAUCUACAAGGCAAAUACACAGGCAUACCAAUGAAAUUAAAAGUGAAGGUAAGUGAAGGAAAACAAAGGGGGACACAUUUCAAGUUUAUCAACUCAGAAAUUCAUCUCUUGUUCAGAUGAAAAAACUGAAAACGGUGUCAGUUUGAGGGAUUACGACUAGGUCUAUGUAUCUACCUGGUUUUGUUCUCCAGAAGCACUUACUGUGGCAGGCGGGGUCUCACUAGCGCAGGCCUCCAUAACUGUUUCAGUACUGACUGACUGGUUGAGUUACAUAUUAAAAGCUGAAAGAGCCAGCCAGUGCCCUUAAACAAGGCUAGAAUGUAACAAAAGCCCCCCAAGAGUUUUGCCUAGGCCUUUCCUGGACCUUGAAGCAUGAUAAAAUAACAAAGGAAUUCUUUUUUUUUUUUUUUUUUUUUUUGAGAUGGAGUCUCGCUCUGUCGCUCAGGCGGGAGUGCAGUGGCGCGAUCUCAGCUCACUGCAACCCCUGCCUCCUGGGUUCAAGAGAUUCUCCUGCCUCAGCAUCCCAAGUAGCAGGGAUUACAGGCGCACACCACCACAUCCGGCUAAUUUUUUAUACUUCUGGGUAGAGACGGGGUUUUACCACGUUGGCCAGACUGCUCUCGAACUCCUGACCUCAAGUGAUCUGCCCGCCUCAGCCUCCCAAAGUGCUGGGAUUACAGGCGUGAGCCACUGAGCCCGGCCACAAAGGAAUUCUUAACAGGACCCGUUUAGAAUUAAACAAGUUUUACUGGGGAUCUGAGGAAACUCCCCAGGCCUCCACGAACAAGUUUAUUAGGGGUCUGAGGGAACUCCCCAAACCUCCAUGAUUUAGCAGGAGAGAAUAUAAGGGUAAUCACCCCAGCACCUGGACCCAUUUAGAUUAAGUAAAUUUACUCAGGCUCCAGAGGAAGGUCUUCAGGACUCAGAUCUUAUGGGUAAGAAGUUAAUCACUUGUAUCUUUAGAUCAAUGCACACUUACACAUAAACAUACAACUUACAAGGUAUAUAAGCUCUGGAAAGCUCUGUAAUUCUGAGUCGGUCUGGGAUAUUUUCCACGCCUUCGCCCCGUACCUGGUUACAGAAAUAAACUCCUUUCUUUC